UUUUAAACUGUUACUUUCUGUCUUAGUAACAGCUGUAAGACAGAAGGGCAAGAGUGAGGCAAACAGGGUUAAGUGACUUGUCCAGGAUCACACACGUAGGAAGUGUCUGAGGACAGCGUUGAAGCCAGGUCCUCCCAUCUUCUGGCCUCGCUCUCUAUCCAUCCUGCUACUAUUUUGCCUCCUUCAAAAGGCAGGUACUCAUUGAAUAUAUAGAAAUGAGCCUGGGAUCAACAUGGGUCAAAGUUUAUGCUUAGAUGCUAAAAAUCCUUGUUAUUGCACAGCUCUGAGCUGAUGUGGAGGUACCCCAUCUACCGUCUAAGUCCAGAGCAUCCUCUGUGUCAGAAGACGGCCACCACCACCGGGUGGGCUACAGGAUGAUUAAUGAUUGGAUCAUAGCAGUGAAAGGUCUGAUUGAAAGGCGUCCGGAUGAAACCACCCAUCCCUCAAGUACCAAAGAAGUAUCAGGAAUCACAUGCCACAUGAAUGAAAUCUUACACACGUCAAGGCUAAAUGUCAGUAUCCUAGGAAACCAGCUAUCUGCAGCCUUUGGAUUGAUUUAACAGAAAUGAUCAGCUGUGAACCAGACUAUGUAACUAAGCUGGUCAGCAGCCUGAGAAAGAUGACUUCACCAGUAAGACACACAAAGGUAAUGGCAAGCCUAAAUGUUUUCUGGAAGUUUUAUUGAACAAUGGGAUUGGAGGGAAAGUGCCUUGUGAAUCCUGUACUGAGUUUAUUCCCUAGAUCU
Molecule: long non-coding RNA, 745 nt
Filed under: Monodelphis domestica (gray short-tailed opossum)
Lineage: Eukaryota; Metazoa; Chordata; Mammalia; Didelphimorphia; Didelphidae
Description: lncRNA (ENSMODG00000032163.2)
Source: RNAcentral